RNAcentral lists this long non-coding RNA (1299 nucleotides) under Junco hyemalis (dark-eyed junco). RNAcentral describes it as "lncRNA (ENSJHYG00000018194.1)". The record is from RNAcentral. Lineage: Eukaryota; Metazoa; Chordata; Aves; Passeriformes; Passerellidae.
UGCGCUGGCCCCGGCGCUCUCCCGAGGCAGGGGCGGGCCCGCGUCCCCGGCUCGCUGCCGGCUUUUCCUUCCCGUCCUUCCUUCCCGUCCUUCCCAGCUCCGUGACGAGGCGGUUACUCAGCGCCUGAACUUCCGCGCUGCUGAGCAUCGCCACGGCCAUUUUGGGCUCCUCCGCUUCCCAGAGGAGGAGGAGGAGGAGGCGGAGCUGGGGAGGGGGGGGAGGAGGGUACCCAAACCCCUUUUAACCCCUCUGCUGCCGGAGCCUUUCCAUCCGCUCCACACACACCCCAUUCCCCCUUGAGCGGAGAUGUUGCUCCGUGCGCCCCCAACCCUGGUGCUCGCCCCCUUCCCCAGACCCCGGCACGGGCGAUUUGUACGCGAUGGACGACUCGCAGCUGGUGAGCGACAAAUCCCCCUUGGAGGAGCCCCCCGACCUGGCCGCCAGCCCCCCACUCCACGCCGGCCCCUUCAGCCUGCUGCCCGCCAGCCCCUCGCCCGCCCCGCUGCUCCAGGCCCCCGGCUCGCCGCCAGCCCUGCCCGGCGACAACGGCGAGCUGAAGAGCGGCGACCACGCGGGGCUGCGGGACUCGGGGUCCCUGGAGCUCGACCCUCCGCUGGAGCCGGACUCGCCGGCCCCGUCUGCUGAGGAGGAGGAGGAGGAGGAGGAAGAAGAAGAGGAGGAGGAGGCUGCCGACAGCUGCCCGGAGACUUCGGCCGCGCCAGGAGAGGGGGAGAGCGAGGAGCCGGCCCUGCUGAGCGCCUCGGGGGCAGGUGAUGUCCCUCGGCGGCGCAUCGCCACGCAGGAGGAGGUGCGCUUCCCGCUGCAGCACGGGUACGUGGGGUGGCCCCCGAGCCUGUUCCCUUUCCCCUGUCCCGUUCCUGUCCCCCUCUGGCCGUUCUGCCCCCGACCCUUUUCCCUUUCCAUCCUCUUCUUCCUGUCCCCCUCCCGCCGUCCUGCCCCACUGCUCUGUCCCCGGCACUGUCCUCUCCUCAUCCUGCCUCAAAAACUACCAAAACUACCGUCCCCUUCCCACCAUCCUGCUCCUGAAAUUAUCCCCAUCGCGUCCCCAUCCUGUCCCCUCGUGUCCCCAUCCCCUCCCCAUCCUGCUCCUGUCCCCACCCCUUUCCCAUCCUCCCCCUCUCUCCAUCCCUUUCCCAUCCUGUCCCCAUCCCCGACCCCUCCCACUGCUCUGUCCCCUCGGUCCUGUCCCCUCCCCAUCCUGCCUCAAAAACUACCAAAACUACAUCCCCUUCUCACCAUCCUGCUCCUGAAACCAUCCCCAUCCUGUCCCCUUUGUG